RNAcentral lists this ribosomal RNA (535 nucleotides) under uncultured bacterium. RNAcentral's name for it is "bacterial SSU rRNA". It matches the Rfam family "Bacterial small subunit ribosomal RNA", at positions 337 to 863 of the family's 1533-position model. The record is from RNAcentral.
CUCUACGGGAGGCAGCAGUGGGGAAUAUUGGACAAUGGGCGCAAGCCUGAUCCAGCCAUGCCGCGUGAGUGAAGAAGGCCUUCGGGUUGUAAAGCUCUUUUGUCCGGAAAGAAAAGCAUUCGGUUAAUAACCGGGUGUCAUGACGGUACCGGAAGAAUAAGCACCGGCUAACUUCGUGCCAGCAGCCGCGGUAAUACGAAGGGUGCAAGCGUUACUCGGAAUUACUGGGCGUAAAGCGUGCGUAGGUGGUUCGUUAAGUCUGAUGUGAAAGCCCUGGGCUCAACCUGGGAAUGGCAUUGGAUACUGGCGGACUGGAGUGCGGUAGAGGAUGGCGGAAUUCCCGGUGUAGCAGUGAAAUGCGUAGAGAUCGGGAGGAACAUCCGUGGCGAAGGCGGCCAUCUGGACCAGCACUGACACUGAGGCACGAAAGCGUGGGGAGCAAACAGGAUUAGAUACCCUGGUAGUCCACGCCCUAAACGAUGCGAACUGGAUGUUGGGAGCAACUAGGCUCUCAGUAUCGAAGCUAACGCGUUAA